This 76-nucleotide transfer RNA is filed under the name Tetragenococcus halophilus. RNAcentral describes it as "tRNA-Phe". It matches the Rfam family "tRNA". Rfam says of the family: Transfer RNA (tRNA) molecules are approximately 80 nucleotides in length. Their secondary structure includes four short double-helical elements and three loops (D, anti-codon, and T loops). Lineage: Bacteria; Bacillati; Bacillota; Bacilli; Lactobacillales; Enterococcaceae. The record is from RNAcentral. RNAcentral also lists the same sequence under 3 other names.
UGGAUCGAUAGCUCAGUCGGUAGAGCAACGGAUUGAAGCUCCGUGUGUCGGCAGUUCGAUUCUGUCUCGAUCCAUC